GGGGAAUAUUUCGCAAUGGACGAAAGUCUGACGGAGCAACGCCGCGUGAGUGAUGAAGGAUUUCGGUUCGUAAAGCUCUGUUGCAGGGGAAAAAGAAAGUGAUUGUACUCUGCGAGAAAGGGACGGCCAACUUCGUGCCAGCAGCCGCGGUAAUACGAAGGUCCCUAGCGUUGUUCGGAAUUAUUGGGCGUAAAGAGCUCGUAGGUGGUUUUGUAAGUCAGGUGUGAAAGCCCCGAGCUUAACUCGGGAGGUGCACUUGAAACUACUUAACUUGAGUACGGAAGAGGUGAGUGGAAUUCCUGGUGUAGUGGUGAAAUACGUAGAUAUCAGGAGGAACAUCGGUGGCGAAGGCGGCUCACUGGUCCAGUACUGACACUGAGGAGCGAAAGCAUGGGGAUCAAAC
Molecule: ribosomal RNA, 403 nt
Filed under: uncultured bacterium
Lineage: Bacteria
Description: bacterial SSU rRNA
Rfam family: Bacterial small subunit ribosomal RNA
Source: RNAcentral